This 468-nucleotide ribosomal RNA is filed under the name uncultured bacterium. RNAcentral describes it as "partial 16S ribosomal RNA". It matches the Rfam family "Bacterial small subunit ribosomal RNA", at positions 28 to 507 of the family's 1533-position model. The record is from RNAcentral.
GACGAACGCUGGCGGCGUGCUUAACACAUGCAAGUCGAACGGAAAGGCCCUGCUUUUGUGGGGUGCUCGAGUGGCGAACGGGUGAGUAACACGUGAGUAACCUGCCCUUGAUUUUGGGAUAACUUCAGGAAACUGGGGCUAAUACCGGAUAGGAGCUCCUGCUGCAUGGUGGGGGUUGGAAAGUUUCGGCGGUUGGGGAUGGACUCGCGGCUUAUCAGCUUGUUGGUGGGGUAGUGGCUUACCAAGGCUUUGACGGGUAGCCGGCCUGAGAGGGUGACCGGCCACAUUGGGACUGAGAUACGGCCCAGACUCCUACGGGAGGCAGCAGUGGGGAAUAUUGCACAAUGGGCGGAAGCCUGAUGCAGCAACGCCGCGUGCGGGAUGACGGCCUUCGGGCUGUAAACCGCUUUCGCCUGUGACGAAGCGUGAGUGACGGUAAUGGGUAAAGAAGCACCGGCUAACUACGUG